This 479-nucleotide ribosomal RNA is filed under the name uncultured bacterium. RNAcentral's name for it is "partial 16S ribosomal RNA". It matches the Rfam family "Bacterial small subunit ribosomal RNA", at positions 28 to 507 of the family's 1533-position model. The record is from RNAcentral.
GAUGAACGCUAGCGGGAGGCCUAACACAUGCAAGCCGAGCGGUAGAGUUUCUUCGGAAACUUGAGAGCGGCGCACGGGUGCGUAACACGUGUGCAACCUACCUUUAUCUGGGGGAUAGCCUUUCGAAAGGAAGAUUAAUACCCCAUAAUAUAAUGAUUGGCAUCAAUUAUUAUUGAAAACUCCGGUGGAUAGAGAUGGGCACGCGCAAGAUUAGAUAGUUGGUGAGGUAACGGCUCACCAAGUCAAUGAUCUUUAGGGGUCCUGAGAGGGAGAUCCCCCACACUGGUACUGAGACACGGGCCAGACUCCUACGGGAGGCAGCAGUGAGGAAUAUUGGACAAUGGGUGAGAGCCUGAUCCAGCCAUCCCGCGUGAAGGAUGACGGCCCUAUGGAUUGUAAACUUCUUUUGUACAGGGAUAAACCUACCCUCGUGAGGGUAGCUGAAGGUACUGUACGAAUAAGCACCGGCUAACUCCGUG